AGUGAACGCUGGCGGUAGGCCUAACACAUGCCAGUCGAGCGGCAGCACAGUAAGAGCUUGCUCUUACGGGUGGCGAGUGGCGGACGGGUGGGGAAUACAUCGGAAUCUACUUUUUCGUGGGGGAUAACGUAGGGAAACUUACGCUAAUACCGCAUACGACCUACGGGUGAAAGCAGGGGAUCUUCGGACCUUGCGCGAUUGAAUGAGCCGAUGUCGGAUUAGCUAGUUGGCGGGGUAAAGGCCCACCAAGGCGACGAUCCGUAGCUGGUCUGAGAGGAUGAUCAGCCACACUGGAACUGAGACACGGUCCAGACUCCUACGGGAGGCAGCAGUGGGGAAUAUUGGACAAUGGGCGCAAGCCUGAUCCAGCCAUACCGCGUGGGUGAAGAAGGCCUUCGGGUUGUAAAGCCCUUUUGUUGGGAAAGAAAAGCAGCAGGUUAAUACCCCGCUGUUCUGACGGUACCCAAAGAAUAAGCACCGGCUAACUUCGUG
This 492-nucleotide ribosomal RNA is filed under the name uncultured bacterium. RNAcentral's name for it is "partial 16S ribosomal RNA". It matches the Rfam family "Bacterial small subunit ribosomal RNA", at positions 29 to 507 of the family's 1533-position model. The record is from RNAcentral.